GCCAAGCGGGUGCGGGGGGCGCGGGAGAUACGGGGGGUCGUGGGGUUAAUCGGAAUGACUGGGGGUAAAGCGGGCGCGGGCGGUUUGUUAAGCGAGAUGUGAAAGCCCUGGGCUCAACCUAGGAAUAGCAUUUCGAACUGGCGAACUAGAGUCUUGUAGAGGGGGGUAGAAUUCCAGGUGUAGCGGUGAAAUGCGUAGAGAUCUGGAGGAAUACCGGUGGCGAAGGCGGCCCCCUGGACAAAGACUGACGCUCAUGCACGAAAGCGUGGGGAGCAAACAGGAUUAGAUACCCUGGUAGUC
This 300-nucleotide ribosomal RNA is filed under the name uncultured Ignisphaera sp. RNAcentral describes it as "partial 16S ribosomal RNA". The stretch from base 52 to 300 matches the Rfam family "Bacterial small subunit ribosomal RNA", at positions 547 to 795 of the family's 1533-position model. The record is from RNAcentral. Lineage: Archaea; Thermoproteati; Thermoproteota; Thermoprotei; Desulfurococcales; Desulfurococcaceae.